RNAcentral lists this long non-coding RNA (1596 nucleotides) under Mytilus galloprovincialis (Mediterranean mussel). Lineage: Eukaryota; Metazoa; Mollusca; Bivalvia; Mytilida; Mytilidae. The record is from RNAcentral.
CGUCUGGAUGACAAGUGAUAUAAAAAUGGUAAUUUAUGACAUUCGGAAUAGUAUCGGCUUUUUUAGCUUGUUGUCAAAGAUAAUGUCCAAGACGAAUAACCAAGAAGUUGGUUAUUGACUUCGGAAGAAAUGACAUUACGAUAAUAUUAUUGAAAAGCCCGAGUGUACCGAUUGUUGUUUAAAGCUAUUUAUAUAUUUUUGUGACGAAAUACAAUUCAUGGAAAACACCGUACAGCAUGGCUGAUAUGGACAUGGAGGCGAAGGAAUAAACCAGCACAUCCAACCUUGGUAAGAUGUUAUAACAACACACACUGUAACAUAAAUUGCAAUGCAAACCUGAUACACCGAGUAGUUAUAUUCUUUCAUGCAUGUCCGUGCAACGAAAACGAGUUUAUAAUUAUACAAUAAAUGUCAAUUGUUAUGUUGACUGGGACCACUCGAACAGUCGUAUACGUUAUAAAUACAUUUUGGGUUGAUGUUUAGUAUCGUUUACUUUAUAAAUACUUGAUGGAAAACUGCUAAGACGCCGAAAUAUCACCUUCAUCCAAGAUAUGUUUGUUGUAUCUAUCUAAAUCUUGAUAUGUGUAAACAUGGUAAAGACAAAGAGGGGGAUGAGAGAUACACAAUGAUGUACACUUUCAAAGAAAAACAAAGUGUAUCUAAAAGAUGCUAGAAGAUUUUAUACUAAAUGGUCAAAAUGAUUUGUACAUUAGAUUUUCUGCAAAAGACAGUUUAAACAAUAUAUUCAGCAUCAAUGAAGAGAGGUGUCAAUGAGGCAGCUACCAGUGAAUCCAAUGCCAUAAAAUACCAAAAGUAGUCUAGACAUCUUCAUGAUUAACAGUUUAUCAUGUAGACUAAAACAAAAAGUGAAGAUAAAAUUGCCAAUAGCUCAAUAUUACACAAAUAAGGAGAUGUAGUAUGAAUACCAACUAUCCACUCAAGUUCAAAUGAAUUGGAUGUGAGUAAUUAUAGGCAACUGUAUGGCCUUCAAAAAAGAGAAAAAAUCCAUUCUUGGUUUGAAUAGAGAAAACAAACAGGGAAUGUGUCAAAGAGACACUGGGCAACCCGACCAAAAAGCAGUAAACAGUUUAAUGCCACCAAUGGGUCGGGUCUUCAACGCAGCAAGAUAAUAUUGCACCCUAAAGCGGGAUUCAGCUUGCCCCAGGACAAUAAUUUAUACAAUAUAUUUCUAUGAUGGUUUUUUUUAAACAAUUUGUUUUUCAUAUAUAUGCUAUGCUGGUGACUAAAAAUUAAUAUGAUUUUAAUAUUUACUUUCUUUUGUAGACAAACCAAUGAUGAUUUAUGGACACAGAUUUUAUGUGUAAAAUGUGAAGAAUUAAAAAAACAUGUAAUAUUCAGGAUUUUCAUUGUAUCAUAAACAAUCAUGCUUCAAUUUUAUAAGAACAAAGUUCAAACUGAAAGAUUUUUUUUUAAUUACUGAAGCAUCAAUCAGUAUAAAUAGAUCACAGUACCAAACAUGUUGGAUAUACAUUAUUUUGACAGGCGCCACAAAGCGAAAAAAAAAACCAACAGACGUAUAUUGAUUAAAUGAAACAAAUAUCAAGAAACACAUUAUUGUCAGAUAUGGUAGGGAAG